Molecule: non-coding RNA, 83 nt
Organism: Tigriopus californicus
Lineage: Eukaryota; Metazoa; Arthropoda; Copepoda; Harpacticoida; Harpacticidae
Source: the annotation of a RefSeq genome assembly
GUCAAGUUGGCCGAGUGGUCUCUGCGCCAGAUUUAAGCUCUGGGUCCCAAGUGGGAGCGUGGGUUCGAACCCCACACUUGACA